RNAcentral lists this ribosomal RNA (460 nucleotides) under uncultured bacterium. Its description in RNAcentral is "partial 16S ribosomal RNA". It matches the Rfam family "Bacterial small subunit ribosomal RNA", at positions 338 to 795 of the family's 1533-position model. The record is from RNAcentral.
CCUACGGGUGGCAGCAGUGAGGAAUAUUGGUCAAUGGACGAGAGUCUGAACCAGCCAAGUAGCGUGAAGGAUGAAUGCCCUAUGGGUUGUAAACUUCUUUUAUAUGGGAAUAACAUGUUCCACGUGUGGGAUUUUGUAUGUACCAUAUGCAUAAGGAUCGGCUAACUCCGUUCCAGCAGCCGCGGUAAUACGGAGGAUCCGAGCGUUAUCCGGAUUUAUUGGGUUUAGAGGGAGCGUAGGUGGAUUGUUAAGUCAGUUGUGAAAUUUUGCGGCUCAACCGUAAAAUUGCAGUUGAAACUGGCAGUCUUGAGUACAGUAGAGGUGGGCGGAAUUCGUGGUGUAGCGGUGAAAUGCUUAGUGAUCACGAAGAACUCCGAUUGCGAAGGCAGCUCACUGGACUGCAACUGACACUGAGGCUCGAAAGUGUGGGUAUCAAACAGGAUUAGAUACCCCGGUAGUC